RNAcentral lists this unclassified non-coding RNA (358 nucleotides) under soil metagenome. RNAcentral's name for it is "partial contains 5.8S ribosomal RNA, internal transcribed spacer 2, and large subunit ribosomal RNA". The stretch from base 1 to 120 matches the Rfam family "5.8S ribosomal RNA", at positions 35 to 154 of the family's 154-position model. The record is from RNAcentral.
GAUGAAGAAUGUAGCGAAAUGCGAUAAGUAAUGUGAAUUGCAGAAUUCAGUGAAUCAUCGAAUCUUUGAACGCACAUUGCGCCCGUCAGUAUUCUGGCGGGCAUGCCUGUUCGAGCGUCAUUACGCCCCUCAAGUCCCCUGUGGACUUGGUGUUGGGGAUCGGCGAGGCUGGUUUUCCAGCACAGCCGUCCCUUAAAUUAAUUGGCGGUCUCGCCGUGGCCCUCCUCUGCGCAGUAGUAAAACACUCGCAACAGGAGCCCGGCGCGGUCCACUGCCGUAAAACCCCCCAACUUUUUAUAGUUGACCUCGAAUCAGGUAGGACUACCCGCUGAACUUAAGCAUAUCAAUAAGCGGAGGA